This 473-nucleotide long non-coding RNA is filed under the name Nicotiana benthamiana. Its description in RNAcentral is "long non-coding RNA (NBEN_LNC023723)". The record is from RNAcentral. Lineage: Eukaryota; Viridiplantae; Streptophyta; Magnoliopsida; Solanales; Solanaceae.
UUUCCCCCAAAAUCCAUUCUCUGCAAAUCUGAAUUCCAGAUUUGAAUUUCAAAAAUCCAAAUCUUAGAUCUAAUAUUUCAAAAACAAAAAACAAAAAAAUAUUCAAAAAUCCAAAAACAAAUUGUUGUUUCAUUGCAAAUUGUAGCUUAAUUUUGAUAUUCUUGUUACGAAUUCACAUCUCCUAGUUCUCUCUUUAGUUGCUGAAAUUUAGAGGUAUUUUUAGUUGAUUUCAAAUAGUUUUGGGUUUGGUCGAGACAUUUUGGGAUCAAUUUGGGUGCUGUUUUGCUGUUAGGUAUUGUUGUUUUCAUUUUGGAAGUCAUUGGUGCUUAGUUGAAUUUGAUGUGGCUGGAUCUGUUAAAACUUUGAUUUUAAAAGUAUUUCUAUUCUCCUAACUCAUUUCUGGACUGAAGCAUUGGUGUAAUUGUGGCUGUUUGAACUCAAAUUGUCAUUGUCUGCUCUUGCCUCAGCUGGCU